Molecule: ribosomal RNA, 496 nt
Filed under: uncultured bacterium
Lineage: Bacteria
Description: partial 16S ribosomal RNA
Rfam family: Bacterial small subunit ribosomal RNA
Source: RNAcentral
GAUGAACGCUGGCGGCGUGCCUAAUACAUGCAAGUCGAGCGAACAGACGAGGAGCUUGCUCCUCUGACGUUAGCGGCGGACGGGUGAGUAACACGUGGAUAACCUAUCUAUAAGACUGGGAUAACUUCGGGAAACCGGAGCUAAUACCGGAUAAUAUAUUGAACCGCAUGGUUCAAUAGUGAAAGACGGUUUUGCUGUCACUUAUAGAUGGAUCCGCGCCGCAUUAGCUAGUUGGUAAGGUAACGGCUUACCAAGGCAACGAUGCGUAGCCGACCUGAGAGGGUGAUCGGCCACACUGGAACUGAGACACGGUCCAGACUCCUACGGGAGGCAGCAGUAGGGAAUCUUCCGCAAUGGGCGAAAGCCUGACGGAGCAACGCCGCGUGAGUGAUGAAGGUCUUCGGAUCGUAAAACUCUGUUAUUAGGGAAGAACAAAUGUGUAAGUAACUAUGCACGUCUUGACGGUACCUAAUCAGAAAGCCACGGCUAACUACGU